RNAcentral lists this ribosomal RNA (119 nucleotides) under Theobroma cacao (cacao). The record is from RNAcentral. Lineage: Eukaryota; Viridiplantae; Streptophyta; Magnoliopsida; Malvales; Malvaceae.
GGGUGCGAUCAUACCAGCACUAAUGCACCGGAUCCCAUCAGAACUCCGCAGUUAAGCGUGCUUGCGCGAGAGUAGUACUAGGAUGGGUGACCUCCUGGGAAGUCCUCGUGUUGCACCCU